Molecule: ribosomal RNA, 301 nt
Filed under: uncultured bacterium
Lineage: Bacteria
Description: partial 16S ribosomal RNA
Rfam family: Bacterial small subunit ribosomal RNA
Source: RNAcentral
CAGUCGCCACGGUAAUACGAAGGGUGCAAGCGUUACUCGGAAUUACUGGGCGUAAAGCGUGCGUAGGUGGUGGUUUAAGUCCGUUGUGAAAGCCCUGGGCUCAACCUGGGAAUUGCAGUGGAUACUGGGUCACUAGAGUGUGGUAGAGGAUAGUGGAAUUUCCGGUGUAGCAGUGAAAUGCGUAGAGAUCGGAAGGAACAUCUGUGGCGAAGGCGACUAUCUGGGCCAACACUGACACUGAGGCACGAAAGCGUGGGGAGCAAACAGGAUUAGAUACCCGAGUAGUCCCUGUCUCUUAUAA